This is a long non-coding RNA of Triticum dicoccoides, 284 nucleotides long. RefSeq lists it as uncharacterized. The record is from RefSeq and is a predicted model, not a curated record. NCBI's taxonomy places the organism in Eukaryota, Viridiplantae, Streptophyta, Magnoliopsida, Poales, Poaceae. The transcript is spliced from 2 exons.
AAGUGGUCGGACCCUUCCCUGGACCCUGCGCAAGCGGGAGCUACAUGCACCAGGUCAAACAAAGGAUCCAUGGAGCGCAACAUAAUCUUCGAAGAAGUCGUUAUCUGACAACUAAAGGGGCAACAUCCUCUAGCAGUCAAGUUUUACCGGAGCCUGGUAAAAUGUCAUGUUGAAUGCAAUGUGUCUGACCUUAAUAGAUGGCGCAGUAAGGUGCAAGACUGGGGCUAAGAUCAAGCUUCCUGAAUUUACAGAUUCUUCAGCAUUUGCUUGGAGACUGUUAAUCC